GAUGAACGCUGGCGGCGUGCCUAAUACAUGCAAGUCGAGCGAACAGAUGAGAAGCUUGCUUCUCUGAUGUUAGCGGCGGACGGGUGAGUAACACGUGGGUAACCUACCUAUAAGACUGGGAUAACUCCGGGAAACCGGGGCUAAUACCGGAUAAUAUUUUGAACCGCAUGGUUCAAUAGUGAAAGGCGGUUUCGGCUGUCACUUAUAGAUGGACCCGCGCCGUAUUAGCUAGUUGGUAAGGUAACGGCUUACCAAGGCGACGAUACGUAGCCGACCUGAGAGGGUGAUCGGCCACACUGGAACUGAGACACGGUCCAGACUCCUACGGGAGGCAGCAGUAGGGAAUCUUCCACAAUGGGCGAAAGCCUGACGGAGCAACGCCGCGUAAGUGAUGAAGGUCUUCGGAUCGUAAAACUCUGUUGUUAGGGAAGAACAAAUUUGUUAGUAACUGAACAAGUCUUGACGGUACCUAACCAGAAAGCCACGGCUAACUACGUGCCAGCCGCCGCAGUAA
Molecule: ribosomal RNA, 514 nt
Filed under: uncultured bacterium
Lineage: Bacteria
Description: partial 16S ribosomal RNA
Rfam family: Bacterial small subunit ribosomal RNA
Source: RNAcentral